ACAAACUUGGUCAUUUAGAGGAAGUAAAAGUCGUAACAAGGUUUCCGUAGGUGAACCUGCGGAAGGAUCAUUACACAUUUUGGCCGUAACAAGCCUUACCCCUUCUCUACACGUACCUUCACAUUCUCCUUCGGCGGGGUAACGCCCGCCGUCGGAACCAUCCAAACCCUUUUUUUUGCAUCUAGCAUCCUACCCGUUCUGAUACAAAAUUCAAUCGUUACAACUUUCAACAAUGGAUCUCUUGGCUCUGGCAUCGAUGAAGAACGCAGC
This 270-nucleotide unclassified non-coding RNA is filed under the name uncultured fungus. RNAcentral's name for it is "partial contains small subunit ribosomal RNA, internal transcribed spacer 1, and 5.8S ribosomal RNA". The stretch from base 1 to 73 matches the Rfam family "Eukaryotic small subunit ribosomal RNA", at positions 1759 to 1831 of the family's 1831-position model. The record is from RNAcentral. Lineage: Eukaryota; Fungi.